AGUCGAGCGGGCAUAGCAAUAUGUCAGCGGCAGACGGGUGAGUAACGCGUGGGAACGUACCUUUUGGUUCGGAACAACUGAGGGAAACUUCAGCUAAUACCGGAUAAGCCCUUACGGGGAAAGAUUUAUCGCCGAAAGAUCGGCCCGCGUCUGAUUAGCUAGUUGGUGAGGUAAUGGCUCACCAAGGCGACGAUCAGUAGCUGGUCUGAGAGGAUGAUCAGCCACAUUGGGACUGAGACACGGCCCAAACUCCUACGGGAGGCAGCAGUGGGGAAUAUUGGACAAUGGGCGCAAGCCUGAUCCAGCCAUGCCGCGUGAGUGAUGAAGGCCCUAGGGUUGUAAAGCUCUUUUGUGCGGGAAGAUAAUGACGGUACCGCAAGAAUAAGCCCCGGCUAACUUCGUGCCAGCAGCCGCGGUAAUACGAAGGGGGCUAGCGUUGCUCGGAAUCACUGGGCGUAAAGGGUGCGUAGGCGGGUCUUUAAGUCAGGGGUGAAAUCCUGGAGCUCAACUCCAGAACUGCCUUUGAUACUGAAGAUCUUGAGUUCGGGAGAGGUGAGUGGAACUGCGAGUGUAGAGGUGAAAUUCGUAGAUAUUCGCAAGAACACCAGUGGCGAAGGCGGCUCACUGGCCCGAUACUGACGCUGAGGCACGAAAGCGUGGGGAGCAAACAGGAUUAGAUACCCCGGUAGUCCA
Molecule: ribosomal RNA, 693 nt
Filed under: uncultured bacterium
Lineage: Bacteria
Description: bacterial SSU rRNA
Rfam family: Bacterial small subunit ribosomal RNA
Source: RNAcentral